This 590-nucleotide ribosomal RNA is filed under the name Staphylococcus xylosus. Its description in RNAcentral is "bacterial SSU rRNA". It matches the Rfam family "Bacterial small subunit ribosomal RNA", at positions 335 to 916 of the family's 1533-position model. The record is from RNAcentral. Lineage: Bacteria; Bacillati; Bacillota; Bacilli; Caryophanales; Staphylococcaceae.
ACUCCUACGGGAGGCAGCAGUAGGGAAUCUUCCGCAAUGGGCGAAAGCCUGACGGAGCAACGCCGCGUGAGUGAUGAAGGGUUUCGGCUCGUAAAACUCUGUUAUUAGGGAAGAACAAAUGUGUAAGUAACUGUGCACAUCUUGACGGUACCUAAUCAGAAAGCCACGGCUAACUACGUGCCAGCAGCCGCGGUAAUACGUAGGUGGCAAGCGUUAUCCGGAAUUAUUGGGCGUAAAGCGCGCGUAGGCGGUUUCUUAAGUCUGAUGUGAAAGCCCACGGCUCAACCGUGGAGGGUCAUUGGAAACUGGGAAACUUGAGUGCAGAAGAGGAAAGUGGAAUUCCAUGUGUAGCGGUGAAAUGCGCAGAGAUAUGGAGGAACACCAGUGGCGAAGGCGACUUUCUGGUCUGUAACUGACGCUGAUGUGCGAAAGCGUGGGGAUCAAACAGGAUUAGAUACCCUGGUAGUCCACGCCGUAAACGAUGAGUGCUAAGUGUUAGGGGGUUUCCGCCCCUUAGUGCUGCAGCUAACGCAUUAAGCACUCCGCCUGGGGAGUACGACCGCAAGGUUGAAACUCAAAGGAAUUGACGG